CGGGUAAUAGCGCAGUUGGUAGCGCGCCUGGUUCGGGACUAGGAGGUCCCCGGUUCGAAUCCGGGUUGCCCGA
This 73-nucleotide transfer RNA is filed under the name Treponema sp. RNAcentral describes it as "tRNA-Pro". It matches the Rfam family "tRNA". From Rfam's summary of the family: Transfer RNA (tRNA) molecules are approximately 80 nucleotides in length. Their secondary structure includes four short double-helical elements and three loops (D, anti-codon, and T loops). Further hydrogen bonds mediate the characteristic L-shaped molecular structure. tRNAs have two regions of fundamental functional importance: the anti-codon, which is responsible for specific mRNA codon recognition, and the 3' end, to which the tRNAs corresponding amino acid is attached (by aminoacyl-tRNA synthetases). tRNAs cope with the degeneracy of the genetic code in two manners: having more than one tRNA (with a specific anti-codon) for a particular amino acid; and 'wobble' base-pairing, i.e. permitting non-standard base-pairing at the 3rd anti-codon position. The record is from RNAcentral. Lineage: Bacteria; Pseudomonadati; Spirochaetota; Spirochaetia; Treponematales; Treponemataceae.